GCCAUCCUAGCUCAGUUGGUAGAGCAACGGUUUUGUAAACCGUCGGUCGUCGGUUCGAGUCCGACGGAUGGCUCCA
This 76-nucleotide transfer RNA is filed under the name Candidatus Magasanikiibacteriota bacterium. RNAcentral's name for it is "tRNA-Thr". It matches the Rfam family "tRNA". Rfam says of the family: Transfer RNA (tRNA) molecules are approximately 80 nucleotides in length. Their secondary structure includes four short double-helical elements and three loops (D, anti-codon, and T loops). Lineage: Bacteria; Candidatus Magasanikiibacteriota. The record is from RNAcentral. RNAcentral also lists the same sequence under 2 other names.